UACGGAGGAUGCGAGCGUUAUCCGGAUUUAUUGGGUUUAAAGGGUGCGUAGGCGGGCUUUUAAGUCAGCGGUAAAAAUUCGGGGCUCAACCCCGUCCGGCCGUUGAAACUGGGGGUCUUGAGUGGGCGAGAAGAAGGCGGAAUGCGUGGUGUAACGGUGAAAUGCAUAGAUAUCACGCAGAACCCCGAUUGCGAAGGCAGCCUUCCGGCGCCCUACUGACGCUGAGGCACGAAAGUGCGGGGAUCGAACAGG
Molecule: ribosomal RNA, 252 nt
Filed under: uncultured bacterium
Lineage: Bacteria
Description: partial 16S ribosomal RNA
Rfam family: Bacterial small subunit ribosomal RNA
Source: RNAcentral